RNAcentral lists this ribosomal RNA (402 nucleotides) under uncultured bacterium. RNAcentral describes it as "bacterial SSU rRNA". It matches the Rfam family "Bacterial small subunit ribosomal RNA", at positions 116 to 518 of the family's 1533-position model. The record is from RNAcentral.
CGUAUGCAACCUACCAUCAGAGGGGAAUAACCCGGCGAAAGUCGGACUAAUACCGCAUAAAACAGGGGCACCGCAUGGUGAUAUUUGUUAAAGAAUUCGCUGAUAGAUGGGCAUGCGUUCCAUUAGGUAGUUGGUGAGGUAACGGCUCACCAAGCCGACGAUGGAUAGGGGAACUGAGAGGUUGGUCCCCCACACUGGUACUGAGACACGGACCAGACUCCUACGGGAGGCAGCAGUGAGGAAUAUUGGUCAAUGGGCGGGAGCCUGAACCAGCCAAGUCGCGUGAAGGAAGAAGGAUCUAUGGUUCGUAAACUUCUUUUGCAGGGGAAUAAAGUGCAGGACGUGUCCUGUUUUGUAUGUACCCUGAGAAUAAGGAUCGGCUAACUCCGUGCCAGCCGCCGC